GACACUUUGGCCGAGUGGUUAAGGCGGUGCCCUGCGUAUGUAUACACAAACACCGACUUCCAAAGACUCCCACGCUAACAGCCCACCUAGUAAGGCAUUACGUUCGCGUGCGUAGGUUCGAAUCCUGCAGGUGUCG
This is a transfer RNA of 136 nucleotides. It matches the Rfam family "tRNA". From Rfam's summary of the family: Transfer RNA (tRNA) molecules are approximately 80 nucleotides in length. Their secondary structure includes four short double-helical elements and three loops (D, anti-codon, and T loops). The record is from Rfam.